AAGAAUAGGAAAGAAUGAAAUGGGAGAGGAAUGUAUUCUACGUUUGGAAAUUUCCUUUCAUAGCCUAUUAGAGAGAUAUUUUGCAAAUAUCCUUGUGGAAGGCGCUAAAGAGAAACAGUAAAACGCAAUAAGCAAAAACAAAGGAAAUGGAAGGUUUUCGAAGCAAUAUCAUUUGCAAGUCGCUCUGUCGAUUCAACUGUUCCAGACGAUGUGUCUUCAUUAGCAGAAUUAUAGUCGUUUAAAACGAAAGUUAGAUUGUAAGGCUAAGUUGUGUGCAACCUUCAGCCGUAAUUUACGCCACUUAUAAUUCCCGGGUGAUACAUUGUUGGAAGCCAUGGAGCUUUCACGUGCUCAUCGCGUGGAAAACUACACGGCUGCACAUCCGCUUAUCGCGGCUGCAGUGCUGCAAUUAUCCCAGGUCGACUACAGUUGCACGAGUCGCAUCGAAAAUUCAUUUCUACCAUCACUCGAGACGCCCUUAAACGAUCCGCUGUCUUCCGUCGGAUUUUCCGCCCGAUUUUCCCUGUGAUUCGCGCGAAAAUGCCGCCAUGGGAAGAAUAAAACGCGAGGGAGCUGCUUUUCCAUAUCUACACGUGUAAUCUGAAAAUAAUUUAUCGGAAGAAGCGAGCUAAAGUCUCGAAUAAUGAUAAUUUCUUAAAAAUGAUAUCCACGUGAAAAAAUUGUAAAAACUUCUUAAGAACUCAGACACACGAAAUUCAAUAAGUAUACGCAGACUAUCGUGACUGACCGUAUUAUAAAAUUCCAUGCUGUUUCUUCUCACGAACAAACUUCGAUAAAUUACACUAUGUAAAUUUAUUUCGACACGUGAUAUAUAACAUACGAAAGUGGUCACAUAAAACAACAGCUGGCAUUUCCACGGGACUAAAAUUUCAAGCACUGCAGAGCGCGUGACACUUGCAAUUUUCAUGUGCAACCCAGCGGCGAUUACGCGCGCCGCGACGCUACGCCGACCGGCGAAUCUCUGAUAAUCGGAUAAUGGAAGAGCAGGGAGAGAGAGAAAGAGAGAGAAAGAGACUGCGAUUGCGGCCGACCGAUUAAUUUGCCGCCCCAUUGCGAGCUCCCUGCUGCUCGUUCGAAACGAGACGGAAGCCUCGAGGUUCUUUCGAGGAUCGUUUCAUUUCGUUUUGAGAUUGCGUCGGGGAUUUGUUCGAUAAAAAUUGCUCGCGGUUGCUGCCUUAUCCUUAACGUUGAGUAGGCCAUUUUACGAGAUUCUUCCAGUCAAUAGGAAUGUCCUGCCUCCAGAUUUCCGCUUUCUACAUUUCCAACUCUAUUUGAAGAUUCGUAUAAAUUGUAGGUGGUUGGAACAUAUUAAAUCGUAGGAUGUGAAAUUGCUAAUUUAAAAUAAAAUCUAUGUACAUUGUACAUACGUCGAAAUACGAAGUUAGAUUGUAAAUUCGCAAAAUCAUUGUCCGAUUCUUUAUUGCAGAAAUUUCUUCUUUUAUAGGAAACUGAUAAUCGAAGAACACAGAGAAAAGAAAUGACAUUGUUUGGUUUUGACAUUUUCAGAUGACGUUACAGAAGAGAGCGAUUUUAAUAUUCGAUGCGCCGUUUAUCAAACCCAUAAAACGAAAACUAUGUUUUUGUCUAGCUUUCGGAUUAAAUAUAUAUUUUUACCGCCUUCCAAAAUAUCUCAAAUAUAUUAAUUGUCAUCCGUGAGAACGAUUAAUCUCGAUGGAAUUGAUUCUAUUUUUAGUAAAAGAAAUUAGUAAAAAAUUGACCAAUUUGAUUUUGGUACGCGUAAACAAAUAAUUUAUCGAUUUCCUUCAAAAUAAGUAGGAAAAUAGAUCGAUAGAAAAUAUCUGUCAAUCCGCGAUUUCAAAAUGAUUUUCAGAUUUUUGGGAUUUUGAUGGUUUCUGAAUGUAUCGAGACGUUUCUGUUUGAGGAACUGGAGGGUUUGAUCACCCGUCAAAAAUAAUUCAACGAUAUGCGUUCGACAGAACAUUACGAAUGUUAUAUGAAAGAGUCAUUCCCCUCUUCGCUGCUGUCAUAUAGUAUCGGUUAUAAUGAUUUAAACAUGUCCGGCAAAACAAGAAUUAUUCUCUCGGGGGAGAAGUAUAUUUAAUCAUUUUUACAGUUUACGAGGAGCGUUGCGAAGGAAUUUAUGUUGUUACACGAAAACAUUUAAAAAUGAAAAAGGAGAAUUUUUCGAUACAAGUAAAAAUUCUUCUUGCAUAUAAACUUUAGCAAAACGUUUCCAUAAUUCCACUGUGUCUUGCGUUAUCAAUUUAACAAUUUUUCAAUCUCUCUCUAAAAACUUAUUUCUAGUCUCUUAAAAGUAUUACGUAAUAUUAUAAUCCGAAGAUCUGGCAAAAAUAUUUCUUAACCAACAUAAUGGAAGAAAUGUUCCCAUUUUUCUUACAAGAUAUAAAAGAAUACGGCUAUUAAGAAUAUAAAAGGGCUAUCAAUUCACGAAAAUAUGAGAAAAGAAGAGAAAUUAUUAAGUCACAUAUAUCUAAAAAAAAAAAAAACGAAACAAA
Bombus huntii is the source of this 2498-nucleotide long non-coding RNA. RefSeq lists it as uncharacterized. The record is from RefSeq and is a predicted model, not a curated record. The transcript is spliced from 2 exons. NCBI's taxonomy places the organism in Eukaryota, Metazoa, Arthropoda, Insecta, Hymenoptera, Apidae.